GCCUUUAGCUCAGGUGGUAGAGCAUAAGGUUCUUAAUCCCAGGGUUGUGUGUUCGAGCCCCACAUUGGGCA
Podarcis lilfordi (Lilford's wall lizard) is the source of this 71-nucleotide non-coding RNA. The record is from the annotation of a GenBank genome assembly. Lineage: Eukaryota; Metazoa; Chordata; Lepidosauria; Squamata; Lacertidae.